RNAcentral lists this long non-coding RNA (428 nucleotides) under Elaeis guineensis (African oil palm). Its description in RNAcentral is "long non-coding RNA (EGUI_LNC008160)". The record is from RNAcentral. Lineage: Eukaryota; Viridiplantae; Streptophyta; Magnoliopsida; Arecales; Arecaceae.
CUCAUGACUGUGCACGGGAGAUAGCAAGUUGUGCCGAUGCACAGCCCACUAUGCUUGGCUUUGCAAGGCACAGCCGAGGCAGUGCCAUGCAUAGCCAUGGCUGUGCACCACACAGCCAACUGUGGCUAUGCAUGGUGGCUGGAGAACACAUUAGAGAGAGAGAGGUACUGAGAGAGAGAGAAGGGGGUAGAGAGAGCGGUAGAGUGAUGGCAAUGGAUGCGGAUGGCGACGAUUGUAGAGUGAUGAUGACAGAGGCAUCGUGAUGGCAAUGGUGAUGGAUCUAUAGGAAGAAAGAUUGAGAGAGAGAGAGAGAGAGCUGUACAUGAUAUCUUAAGAGAGAGGGAGAGAGAGCGGCUUGAUGGAGUCACAAAGGUGCCGGUGGAGUCACGACAACAGAGGUAGAGUGACAGCGAUGGUGACAGACCUAG